UACGGAGGGUGCAAGCGUUACUCGGAAUCACUGGGCGUAAAGAGCGUGUAGGCGGGUAGUUAAGUCAGAAGUGAAAUCCAAUAGCUCAACUAUUGAACUGCUUUUGAAACUGAUUACCUAGAAUAUGGGAGAGGUAGAUGGAAUUUCUGGUGUAGGGGUAAAAUCCGUAGAGAUCAGAAGGAAUACCGAUUGCGAAGGCGAUCUACUGGAACAUUAUUGACGCUGAGACGCGAAAGCGUGGGGAGCAAACAGG
This 253-nucleotide ribosomal RNA is filed under the name uncultured bacterium. Its description in RNAcentral is "partial 16S ribosomal RNA". It matches the Rfam family "Bacterial small subunit ribosomal RNA", at positions 524 to 776 of the family's 1533-position model. The record is from RNAcentral. RNAcentral also lists the same sequence under 1 other name.